UCGGAUAUGGUGUAACGGCUAACAUUGCCGCCUCUCACGAGUCGCGCGGCAGCUCGGGGUUCGAUUCCCCGUAUCCGAG
RNAcentral lists this transfer RNA (79 nucleotides) under Pluteus cervinus. RNAcentral's name for it is "tRNA-Glu". It matches the Rfam family "tRNA". From Rfam's summary of the family: Transfer RNA (tRNA) molecules are approximately 80 nucleotides in length. Their secondary structure includes four short double-helical elements and three loops (D, anti-codon, and T loops). Lineage: Eukaryota; Fungi; Basidiomycota; Agaricomycetes; Agaricales; Pluteaceae. The record is from RNAcentral.